Molecule: ribosomal RNA, 450 nt
Filed under: uncultured bacterium
Lineage: Bacteria
Description: partial 16S ribosomal RNA
Rfam family: Bacterial small subunit ribosomal RNA
Source: RNAcentral
GUGGGGAAUAUUGGACAAUGGGCGAAAGCCUGAUCCAGCCAUGCCGCGUGUGUGAAGAAGGUCUUCGGAUUGUAAAGCACUUUAAGUUGGGAGGAAGGGCAGUAAGUUAAUACCUUGCUGUUUUGACGUUACCGACAGAAUAAGCACCGGCUAACUUCGUGCCAGCAGCCGCGGUAAUACGAAGGGUGCAAGCGUUAAUCGGAAUUACUGGGCGUAAAGCGCGCGUAGGUGGUUUUGUAAGUUGGAGGUGAAAUCCCCGGGCUCAACCUGGGAACUGCCUCCAAAACUGCAUGGCUAGAGUACGGUAGAGGGUAGUGGAAUUUCCUGUGUAGCGGUGAAAUGCGUAGAUAUAGGAAGGAACACCAGUGGCGAAGGCGACUACCUGGACUGAUACUGACACUGAGGUGCGAAAGCGUGGGGAGCAAACAGGAUUAGAAACCCUUGUAGUCC